CGCCGCGCCAGCCCGAGGGCAGACUCCUUGCUGUACACAGCACUCACUCGGACUGCUCCAGCCCGCAAGCCUGGUCCCUGCUGUGCCCAGGUGGCUGCUGACCGCCCGAUGGCUCCCUGAGAGCCACGGAAGCCCCUGUCGCGCCCGUGAGCCGUUCUCCGGCGGCGUGCUCCAUCUGGGACGGAGCCAGCGGCCGAGGCCCAUCGCACCGUCACCGCGGGGGGCCCAGCCCCUGGCUUUCGCUGCCUGCGUCGUCCUGUUUGUGCUUUUGGGGCGCAGAUACCGAGACUUUGACCAGUGCCCAAGAACUUAUGUGCAUUAAGGCAAUGUGUGGACUGCAGUUACCUCUGACCACAGGACCGAAGGAGAAGAGGUAGCUGGCAAACGCUUCUCUCUCCCACCUGUAGACAGUCAAGCAGAAUUCAGAAGACAAGGUAGGCUGAGCAAAGUAAAAAACUGACAGUCAUUUAGAGAAACUAUAACUUAGUGUCAUAAUUCUGUAUUUUUUUGGGGACACAUCAUGGAACAUCUGUAGGCAUCUGAAGAUUAAGAUACUUAAAGGUGGUCUGAGCAAGAAAUUGAGUUAAAUCUCUUUGUCGGUGCUUCAUUACUGUUUUGUUAAUAAGCUCAAAAUCCUCAAAAGGUCAUGUUCCUCUUGAACAGGUGCUCCACAGGCACUGGUGUGAAAUCCUUGACACUUCUCAACAGAAAUUAAAAGGAAAAGUCCUACUGAGUUAACUGACCUUCAUGUUCACUCUGAAACCCAUAAAAUGCCCUCAAGGGAGACAGUUCAGUACAAAAAUAAUAUUGGAUAAGUACCAUAAAAUCAAAGGACAAUUCCUGUUGGAAGGUACCUCAGUAGGACUCUAGGCCAACCUCCUGCUCACAGCAGGGUCAGGGAUGAAGUCAGGUGAAGUUACUCUGAGUUCUGUAUAUUCAGACCUUGAAAAAUUCUAAAGCUGGAGACCACAUAACACCUCUUGGCAACCUCUUCUACUUCCUAACUGUUCUUGCAGGAAAAAAAGUUUUCCUUCUAUCCAAUCUGAACUCUUCUUUCAGUUUAUGUCCCCAAAACUUGUCUCCAUAAUACUGUAGCCAGCACAUAGAGGAGGAAAGACUAUGCCACGUGUCACCCAAAAGGCAGAUGCUAAACCUCCAGGCCACGUUCAUAA
Molecule: long non-coding RNA, 1172 nt
Organism: Pogoniulus pusillus (Red-fronted tinkerbird)
Lineage: Eukaryota; Metazoa; Chordata; Aves; Piciformes; Lybiidae
Exons: 2
Source: RefSeq, a predicted model, not a curated record